Molecule: transfer RNA, 72 nt
Filed under: Dallia pectoralis (Alaska blackfish)
Lineage: Eukaryota; Metazoa; Chordata; Actinopteri; Esociformes; Umbridae
Description: tRNA-OTHER
Rfam family: tRNA
About the family: Transfer RNA (tRNA) molecules are approximately 80 nucleotides in length.
Source: RNAcentral
GUCGGUGUAGCUCAGUGGUAGUGUGCAUGCUUAGUAUGUAUGAUGUCCUGGGUUUAAACCCCAGCUUCUCCC